GUGCCAGCAGCCGCGGUAAUACGUAGGUGGCAAGCGUUGUCCGGAUUUAUUGGGCGUAAAGCGAGCGCAGGCGGUUUCUUAAGUCUGAUGUGAAAGCCUUCGGCUCAACCGAAGAAGUGCAUCGGAAACUGGGAAACUUGAGUGCAGAAGAGGACAGUGGAACUCCAUGUGUAGCGGUGAAAUGCGUAGAUAUAUGGAAGAACACCAGUGGCGAAGGCGGCUGUCUGGUCUGUAACUGACGCUGAGGCUCGAAAGCAUGGGUAGCAAACAGGAUUAGAUACCCUGGUAGUCCAUGCCGUAAACGAUGAGUGCUAGGUGUUGGAGGGUUUCCGCCCUUCAGUGCCGCAGCUAACGCAUUAAGCACUCCGCCUGGGGAGUACGACCGCAAGGUUGAAACUCAAAGGAAUUGACGGGGGCCCGCACAAGCGGUGGAGCAUGUGGUUUAAUUCGAAGCAACGCGAAGAACCUUACCAGGUCUUGACAUCCUUUGACCACUCUAGAGAUAGAGCUUUCCCUUCGGGGACAAAGUGACAGGUGGUGCAUGGUUGUCGUCAGCUCGUGUCGUGAGAUGUUGGGUUAAGUCCCGCAACGAGCGCAACCCUUAUUACUAGUUGCCAGCAUUUAGUUGGGCACUCUAGUGAGACUGCCGGUGACAAACCGGAGGAAGGUGGGGACGACGUCAAAUCAUCAUGCCCCUUAUGACCUGGGCUACACACGUGCUACAAUGGAUGGUACAACGAGUUGCGAGACCGCGAGGUUUAGCUAAUCUCUUAAAACCAUUUUCAGUUCGGAUUGUAGGCUGCAACUCGCCUACAUGAAGCCGGAAUCGUUAGUAAUCGCGGAUCAGCAUGCCGCGGUGAAUACGUUCCCGGGCCUUGCACACACCGCCCGU
RNAcentral lists this ribosomal RNA (892 nucleotides) under uncultured bacterium. RNAcentral's name for it is "bacterial SSU rRNA". It matches the Rfam family "Bacterial small subunit ribosomal RNA", at positions 505 to 1397 of the family's 1533-position model. The record is from RNAcentral.